This 202-nucleotide unclassified non-coding RNA is filed under the name fungal sp. Its description in RNAcentral is "partial internal transcribed spacer region". The stretch from base 1 to 46 matches the Rfam family "Eukaryotic small subunit ribosomal RNA", at positions 1786 to 1831 of the family's 1831-position model. The record is from RNAcentral. Lineage: Eukaryota; Fungi.
AAGUCGUAACAAGGUAACCGUAGGUGAACCUGCGGUUGGAUCAUUAAUAAAUCUAGAAGGUCUUCAAGACCUUUCUAACAUCUUGUGAAACGUUCAUGUCUCUGGCAGGCUCAGUCUGCCGAGUAUACUUUGUACUACAUUUAGUCUAAAACAAUUAAAAAAGUAAUUAAAACAACUUUUGACAACGGGUCUCUAGGCUCUC